AGAAGACGGGGCCAGGACUGAGCAACACUGUUCCGUAGUGGCCGGUCGGGCAGCGACUGGGAGGGACUCGAGGUCCUGGGGGACGGAAGAAGCGAUGGGGGGCGUGUCCAGAUGCUUGUGGGAGUAUGGUUACCCUGUUGAAACUAUAAUAGAAGAAAGUGAAGCACGAAGACGCCAUGUCACUUGACCAAUUCAUCCAAAACUUUAGCAAAGCAAAAUGCACCUCUCUUGUUCCCCUCUUGAAUUCUUGUAAUCACCAUUGUAUCACUUAGCAAACAGGUUCUGAAAAGCGGCUGUUCAUAUCAAGGUUGGGCAAAUGCAGAGGCCACUUGGCAGUGGUACAUAGGAGAGCUCUACAAAAAUUUCGGUAUCAACCAGCACGAGAUUGCAGGCUAUGUAUCUCAUGCUGGGGAAGUGAAAAGCUGAGGAUCCCUGCUGUCAGCUAGAGGAAGAACUUGACUCCAGAGAUGAGAUUUCCAUGGUCUGACAACUUACCAGACUGCCUUGCUGGGGAAGACUGGAACUGAGUUAAGAUAGGUAGGACCAUACCUCCACCAGGACUGCCUAAUUAUGCAUACCUCUUCCCUUCCAUUUAAGCCUAAACCUCCUGUUAAGUGACUCGAAGAUAGGCUUAGGUGUGUCCCUGGACUCCUUCAUUUGUUCAUCUUUCCACUGUGGCCACAUUGAAUAAAU
Molecule: long non-coding RNA, 693 nt
Organism: Nannospalax galili (Upper Galilee mountains blind mole rat)
Lineage: Eukaryota; Metazoa; Chordata; Mammalia; Rodentia; Spalacidae
Exons: 3
Source: RefSeq, a predicted model, not a curated record